UUAGUUUUUCUUUUUCUGCCUGUCUUAGGUCAUAUAUCACGAUGUCCUCCAGGUUCAACAAUAUGGCUCCAAAUGAUGAAAUUUCAUUCUGGUUUUCUGGCUGAAGACGAUUCUGUUUGUGUACAUCCACCAAGUAUUCCUUCAUCUGUGGAUGGGCAGGUUUUUCCAUGUGGCUGCAAGUGACGCGAUUUCCCCCAUUUCUAUGAUUGAAGAAUAUUCUGCUCUGGAUGUAUAUUGCAGUUUCCUCGUCCCUUCAUCAAUGGAUGAACAGGUAACAUUCAUUCUAUGUGGAUGGAAGCUGUAUCUCAGUGCGGUUUUCCUUGACGUUCUUGUGAGGAUUAGCGCUUUUCAGAGACUUUUCUUUUCCCUGUGAGUCAGUUUGACAUCUGCUUUGCAGACACGUCUAUUCAGGUCCUUUGCCCAGACUUAGCUUAGGUGUUUGUUUCUUUUUCUGUUUUUGUUUCCCUUCACAUGAUAGUGUUAGAUUCUUGCACAUAUUUUAUAAUGACCCCUUUCAAAGACAGGAUUUUCCCUAGUUUUCUUUCACUCUGUGAGGCACCUUCUCUUCUGUUCAUUGUUUUCUCUUCACAGCAUAAGGUCCGAUGUUUUCCGUAGUUCCACGUGUUUCCAUAUUAGUGGUGACUUCCAUGUGCAGUUAAAGACAGUGAAAAAGAUUGCCAAUCUGUGGGAUCGUCUAUGGUUUUUUCCUUCUAAUUUUUCUUUUUCUAUUUCACAUUUUGCAACUUGUGUGCAUAGAUUAGUCUUCUAAACUAUGUGCUUACCCUUUGUUUUCUGAGGGAAGUAAAUGGUUUCAAGAUUGACUUUAGGCCUUCAAUGUAAUUUACAUCGAUUUUUGUCCUAUUUCACUGUUUUUCAUGUGAUUAUCCAGUUUGCUCAAAAUCAUUUAUUAUUUUCCCAUUGUGUCUUUUUGUGUUGUGUUGAAAAAUGCGUUCAGUGUACAUUCAUUUGGGUGGCAUGUGGGACCCCCUCAUUCUGUCCAUUGGGUAGCCUUUCUGUUUUUAUGCCAGAGGCAGGUUGUUUGGAUAAAUAAAGGUUUUAGUUGCUUUAUCAUUAUGCCCACUUAGUACCUUUAGUUUCUUGCGUAUGUUAGAUAACAGUUCUUUUCGGAUACGUGAUUUUCUAUAAUUUUAUCCCAAUCUGUAGGAUCCCUUUUCUUUGGGUUCAUUGUUUUUUCCUUGUUUAUAAAUUUUAAAAUUGUCCUUUGGGAGCAGAUGGAGCUCUGAACAAAUUGUGCCUGGAGCUCAGAGUAGAUGGAGCAAGAUGAAGCUCAGCGUAGAUGGUGCUUAGAAUAAGAUGGAGCAGCAAGCAUAUGGUGCUCAGGGCAAGAUGGAGCUUCAGUGAUUGUAGCUCAGAACAGAAGGAGCUCGCGGAAGAUGUUGCUCCCAGUAAGAUGGAGCUCCAAGCAGAUGGUGCUCAGAGUAAGAAGGACCUAAGAAUGAUUAGAACUCUGAGAAAGAUAAUGCUCUCUGCUGAUGGUGCUUAGAGAGAGAUGGAGCUCAGGGUGAUUGCUCUGAGAGAUUGGAGCUCUGAGCAGAUGGAGCUCGGAGCAGAUGGUGCUCAGGGCAAAAUGGACCUCAAAGUGAUUGGCGCUCCAAAGAAGAUGGUUCUCUGAGCAGAUGGUGCUCAGAGCAAGAUGGAGCUACGUGCAGAUGAUGCUCACGGCAAAAUGAAGCUCAGAGUGAUUGGAACUUCAAAGAAUGUGGAUCUCAGAGCACAUGGUGCUCAGGGCAAGAUGGAGCUCAACAAGUUGGAGAUCAGAGCAGAUGGAAGUCCGGGCAAGAUGGAACUCGGAGACAAUGUUGCUCACGGUAAGAUGGAGUGCAAAGUGAUUGGAGCUCCUAAGAUGAUGGAUCUCGGAGAAGAUGAUGCUCAGGGCAAGAUGGAGCUCAGAGCGAUUAGAGCUCCAAGCAAGAUGGAGCUGGGAGCAGAUGCUGCUCAGAGCAGGAUGGAGGUUGGAGUGAUAGGAGUCCUGAGCAAGAUGGAGCUUGGAGCAAAUGGAGCUCAGAGUAGACGGAGCUCCGAGCAGACGGUGUUCUGAGUAGAUGGUGCUCAGAGCAAGGGAGCUCAGAGUGAUUAGACCUCCAGGCAAGAUGGAGCUCGGAGCAGAUGGAGCUCUGAGCAAGAUAGAGCUCGGAGCAGAUGCUACUCAGCAAGAUGGAGCUCAGAGCAGAUGGAGCUCCAAGCAAGAUGGAGCCCCUUGAAGAUGGUGUUAAAGGAAAGACAGAGCUCAAAGUGAUUUGACCUCUCAGCAAGAUACAGCACUUGGAGCAGAUAGAGCUCAGAGCAAGAUGGAAUUUGGAGCAGUUGAAGCUCUAAGAAGAUGGAGCUCUGAGCAAGAUGGAGCUUGGAGCAGAUGGAGCUCUGAGCAAGAGGAACUUGGAGUGAUUGGAGCUUGGAGCAAGAUGGAGCUUGGAGCAGAUGGAGCUCUGAGCAAGAUGGAGCUCGGAGUGAUUGGAGCUCUGAGCAAGAUGGAACUCGGAGCAGUUGAAGCUCUAAGAAGAUGGUGCUCUGAGCAAGAUGGAGCUUCGAGCAGAUGGAGCUCAGACUUAUUUGAGCUCUGAGUAAGAUGGAGCUCAAAGCAAGAUGGAAGUUGGAGCAGAUGUUGCUUGGAGUAUGAUGGAGCUCGGAGAAGUUGGAGCUCUAAGCAGAUGGAGCUGUAAGCAAGAUAGAGCUCAGAGCAGAUGGAACUUGGAGCAGAUGGAGCUCCAAGCGUGAUGGCACUUUGACCAAGAUGGAACUCAGAGCAGAUGAAGCUCCAAGCAAUAUGGUGCUUCAGUCAAGAUUUAGCAUGGAUUUAGCAGAUGGUACUUGCAGCAGAUCGCACUACUGCACUCCAGCUUGGGCCACUGAGCAAAUUUUUUCUCAAAAAAAAAAAAAUCUGUCUCAAAAAAAAAAAAU
Long non-coding RNA from Sapajus apella (tufted capuchin), 2919 nucleotides. RefSeq lists it as uncharacterized. Lineage: Eukaryota; Metazoa; Chordata; Mammalia; Primates; Cebidae. The transcript has 3 exons. The record is from RefSeq and is a predicted model, not a curated record.